UGCCACUACCCAUUCAUUGGAUCACACACCACCCACUAAGUAGGCACACUAAACCCCAAGAAUACCACUAAAAAUUCUUUAGUAAAUAUUCCAGCAAUAAAGAAAGAAAGUUACAUGCACCCACAAAGUUUCUAUUAAGUUUCUUAAUUCGUGAAAAUCCCAACAUAUCUUUCCUCAACCACAGAGGUGUUCAAAAAGGGAUUCCAAUGAAAAGUCCAUAAAUUUUAGCUUUAGCCUUUCAUUAAAAAUCUGGGUUCAGGAUCACACCAGGUCUCGGUUCCCAGCUGGACUAGUGUUUAUAACCAAAUCUAUCCCAUGUACAAACAACAUAAAUCCUGGGUUUCAUAUUUCAAACACUUUACUUUGGUUUGUUCAAUGCAGACCUCUCUAAUGCCCAACCAGAAAAAGUUGAAUUAGCAAUAAACAGAACAUAUCAUUUCAGGAAAACAAUGCAGAUUUGAACUUUUCAUCCUUCUGCAGCAUAAUCAGCAGAAAAUUACAAAUAAAUAAAUUAUAUAACAAAUAUGGUUUCCAAAAAUUGAAAAAGAAACAAGGGAAAAAAUAUUUAAAAUUUAAGCCAUCACAAAAAUUCUCCAGCAAUCUCCUGAAGUCCCAAAUUUUACAUUGAGUGAAUACAACAAAAUUGAAUCAAAAUUUGUGUUCCAUUUCCUCCAAUCCAACUCUAAAAUCCUCAAAUAACUAGAAUUGCAAAAUACUCAUUUUUUUCAAAAAUAAAAUAUAUAAACAAAACUUGACCCAUCACCAAAACAAAAACACAUACUACGAAACCAACCCAGAAAAUCUGAGAAUGCUGAAGGCUCAUUAGCAUAAGAUAAAAGGCCAAAAUAUUUUAGAAUUUCAAGGGUUCUGUGAACUCAAACACACACACUGAAAAAAUAUAUAUAUAUAUUUAUCCACACAUAAAAAGAAAAAAAUUAAAAUUAAAUUGAAAAUCAAUAAGUUUGAGAGGUUUAGAGAUUUUACACGAAAUGAAAGAGACUUCAUCAUCAUCAGUGAACGAAGAUCGUGUGAAGCAGAGUGGGUUUUGGGGCGAGUACGGAAGUUUGAUUUCUGAAUUUCGAAGGUUAGGGCACGGGAGUGGAAAGCCGUACUCGCGUUUUUUCAUAUUCUCAUCUCUCACUCGCCCAUAGUGGCUUUGGGCUCCCACGUGGGCCCAGAUGAAGAACUGUC
This 1191-nucleotide long non-coding RNA is filed under the name Vitis vinifera (wine grape). Its description in RNAcentral is "long non-coding RNA (VVIN_LNC008180)". Lineage: Eukaryota; Viridiplantae; Streptophyta; Magnoliopsida; Vitales; Vitaceae. The record is from RNAcentral.